Molecule: long non-coding RNA, 1529 nt
Filed under: Homo sapiens (human)
Lineage: Eukaryota; Metazoa; Chordata; Mammalia; Primates; Hominidae
Description: HSALNT0028999
Source: RNAcentral
UAUACAAGAAUAUCUUUGUGACCUUGGGGUACAGGAAGAGUUUUUAAGCAAGAUCCAAAAAGUGCCAAGCCAAAUAAAAGAUUGAUAAAUGUUUCUACAUUAAAAUUAAGAAAUCCUGGCUAUAAAAGGGCACUAUGAACAGAAUGAAAAGUCAAGCCACAGAGAUGAUGGUUGGAAUGCAUAUAAGCAACAGAAGGCUGAAAUCCAAAAUAAGCAGUAAGAAAGGCAGGCAACUGAGUCAAAAAAUGAGCAAUGACUUGAACAGGAAAUUCACAGAAAAUAUGGAAAUGCCAAAAAGCAUAUGAAAGAGUGCUCAAUUUUAUUUGUUAUCAGGGAAACCUAAAUUAAAAGCACGAGAUACCAAAUAUCUAAAACUAAGAAUGACAUUACUAAGUAUUGGUGCUGAUGUGAAGCAACUGGACCUCAUGCACUGCUGGGAGUGCAAAUUGUUAUGCCCACUUUGGAAAACAGUUUGACACUAUCUGAAGUUGAAAAUAAUGCAUUCUCUGUGACCCAGCUAUUCCAUUCCUAGGUAUAUACUUGUUAUGGUCUGAAUGUUUGUGUCUCCCUAAAAUUCAUAUGUUGAAAUCCUAACCCCCAAGGUGACAGUAUUAAGAGGUAGGGCCUUUGGAAGGUGAUUAGAUCAUGAAGUCAUAGCCCCCGUGAAUGGGAUUAGCACCCUUACAAUAAAAGAGGCUGAAGGAACUUCUUUGCUUGUUCUAGCAUAUAAUGACACAGUAAGAAGGUGCCAUCUAUGAAAGAAGCAGGACACCAGUCACCAAAUCUGCUGGUGCCUUGAUUUUGGACUUCUCAGCCUCCAGAACUAUUGCAGAUCACAGAACUUUAUUAAGAUGAAAUCACUGCGAAUUACACAGAAGCUACCAGACUAAGCCAAAAUCCAUGAGGUUCAUGUGAACUUACAGUUACAGAAAUAAGAAACAAAUGGCAUAUCCAAAACCAUAAGGAAAUAUCCUGAUGCCCAGGAUCUCCAGACUCGGUCAGCAUCUUUCGCUCGUCCUCCAGUCCUAUGUCUGGCUACGGUUCUGGAUUCAACACGAGCAGCAACUGCGGCACCUAAUCCACUUCAGGAUCUAGAAGGACUUGUUGACAAAUCCUGUUCACCAGAAAUUACAGCAGAGAUUGUAGACAGGAAGCUGCAGAGGAAAGAGGCACAAUGAGAAAUCAAGCUUGGACACAUUUGGUAGACUCCUAUAGUUAGGUAAUAACUCAUACAGUUAGGUAAUUGCAUAACGAUUGAUAGCCCAGAAAUUGGAGCUCAUCCAGUAAUUCUGUCACAUAGUCAUGUCUCCCUCUGCUGGCAAAACUUGGUUUGUUUGUUUUUGGUUUUGGUUUUGAGAUGUCGCCCAGGCUGGAGUGCAGUGGUACGAUCUCGGCUCACUGCAACCUCCACCUCCCAGGUUCAAGUGAUUCUCCUGCCUCAGCCUCCUGAGUAGCUGGGAUUACAGGCUCGUGCCACUAGGCCUGGCUAAUUUUUGUAUUUUUAGUAGAGACGGGGUUUCGCCAUGUUG